GGGUGUGCUUCCUUGAGGGUGUGGGGGUGAGUUCUUCUGUAUUGGAGGGCUGUGAUCUACCCCUUUGCUGGGGGUUCAUAGCUGCAUUUUGGGGCUGGCAGCCAUCUGUACCUGGAAACUGCUUCUUUGGGGGAGCGAGUGAGUAUUGGUCCUUGGAAUGGGGUGGCAGCAGAGAGCUGCAGCGCUCCCGAGUGCUGUAAGGACUGCACGGAGAGAUGUGCAGGUCUUCACGGGAACAGCCAGGAACCGAAAGCUGCAUUUCCUGGGAUGCCCUGGAACUCCACUUUGCUGACUGGUAAUUGUCUGCCCAGCAGGUGGCAGCAGAGAGCUGCAGCACUCCCGAGUGCUGUAAGGACUGCACGGAGAGAUGUGCAGGUCUUCACGGGAACAGCCAGGAACCGAAAGCUGCAUUUCCCGGGAUGCCCUGGAACUCCACUUUGCUGACUGGUAAUUGUCUGCCCAGCAGGCAGGUCUUCAAUGAAGAUAUUGGACAGAACAGGCCUGAAGAGCACUCAGGAUGGCAUACCAGCUGCAUUUAACACGAUCGGAGCAGCACUCAUUAGGCCAGGCGGUUCAGCUAGUUCUUCAUCUAGCAAGCAACGUACCCGUCCAAGUAGCCGGCUGCAAUCUUUGAGAGAAUUUCGAGGGAUAGCACAUCAAAGGGUUUGCCUCACUCAUGGGGUUGGGUCACCUUCGCUUUGAGUUUGCUAGCGUGGCUGACCCUAAUCCCGUAACUGACAUCCUGUAGCUGGACAGGGACCAUUCGCACUCCAUCCAGUCUGUUUGAGACUCACGGCCAUGCUGAGAGUCACGCUGAUUUCAGCGCGUGCAGUCAUUUUGCAUCAACCCAAUUGGCUUUAGCUUUACAAAUAAUUUAUCUCAACCAAAUUGGCUUUAGCUUUGCAGUUAAUGCAUUGCAACUAAGUUGGCUUUAGCUUUGCCUUGCUUACGGGGUUGGGUUAGCUUUGCUUUGUUUGUUUGUACCGCAGGGCUAACCCAACCCCGUAACCAACGCCCGAGGCCUUUGGAGCCCAUUUGCGCUCCUUCCCGGCCAGUCUGAGACUCGCGCCCCUUUGCGCGGCCAUUCUGAGAGUUGCGCCGAUUUUGGCAUGUGCAGUCAAUUGAUCUUGCCCAAAUUGGCUUUAGCUUUGCAAUCA
RNAcentral lists this long non-coding RNA (1157 nucleotides) under Gallus gallus (chicken). RNAcentral's name for it is "lncRNA (ENSGALG00010028687.1)". The record is from RNAcentral. Lineage: Eukaryota; Metazoa; Chordata; Aves; Galliformes; Phasianidae.